Molecule: ribosomal RNA, 465 nt
Filed under: uncultured bacterium
Lineage: Bacteria
Description: partial 16S ribosomal RNA
Rfam family: Bacterial small subunit ribosomal RNA
Source: RNAcentral
GACGAACGCUGGCGGCGUGCUUAACACAUGCAAGUCGAACGGAAAGGCCCCUUUGGGGGUACUCGAGUGGCGAACGGGUGAGUAACACGUGAGUAACCUGCCCUUGACUUCGGGAUAACUUCAGGAAACUGGGGCUAAUACCGGCUAGGAAUCCUUGCUGCAUGGUGGGGGUUGGAAAGCUUCGGCGGUUUUGGAUGGACUCGCGGCUUAUCAGCUUGUUGGUGGGGUAGUGGCUUACCAAGGCGUUGACGGGUAGCCGGCCUGAGAGGGCGACCGGCCACAGUGGGACUUAGGGACGGCCCCGACUGCGACGGGAGGCAGAAGGGGGGAAGAUUGAACAAUGGGCGGAAGCCUGAUGCAGCAACGCCGCGUGCGGGAGGACGGCCUUCGGGUUGUAAACCGCUUUCAGCAGGGGCGAAGCUUGUGGUGACGGUACCUGCAGAAGAAGCACCGGCUAACUACGUG